Molecule: ribosomal RNA, 437 nt
Filed under: uncultured Oscillospiraceae bacterium
Lineage: Bacteria; Bacillati; Bacillota; Clostridia; Eubacteriales; Oscillospiraceae
Description: bacterial SSU rRNA
Rfam family: Bacterial small subunit ribosomal RNA
Source: RNAcentral
ACGGAAGGCAGCAGUGGGGAAUAUUGGGCAAUGGGCGAAAGCCUGACCCAGCAACGCCGCGUGAAGGAAGAAGGCCUUCGGGUUGUAAACUUCUUUUACCAGGGACGAAGGACGUGACGGUACCUGGAGAAAAAGCAACGGCUAACUACGUGCCAGCAGCCGCGGUAAUACGUAGGUUGCAAGCGUUGUCCGGAUUUACUGGGUGUAAAGGGCGUGUAGGCGGAGCUGCAAGUCAGAUGUGAAAUCCCGGGGCUCAACCCCGGAACUGCAUUUGAAACUGCUGAUCUUGAGUAUCGGAGAGGCAAUCGGAAUUCCUAGUGUAGCGGUGAAAUGCGUAGAUACUAGGAGGAACACCAGUGGCGAAGGCGGAUUGCUGGACGACAACUGACGGUGAGGCGCGAAAGCGUGGGGAGCAAACAGGAUUAGAUACCCUGGUA